Molecule: ribosomal RNA, 16 nt
Filed under: Trichophyton mentagrophytes
Lineage: Eukaryota; Fungi; Ascomycota; Eurotiomycetes; Onygenales; Arthrodermataceae
Also listed under: 1 other name
Description: partial 18S ribosomal RNA
Source: RNAcentral
GACCUGCGGAAGGAUC